This 242-nucleotide long non-coding RNA is filed under the name Mustela putorius furo (domestic ferret). Its description in RNAcentral is "lncRNA (ENSMPUG00000031406.1)". Lineage: Eukaryota; Metazoa; Chordata; Mammalia; Carnivora; Mustelidae. The record is from RNAcentral.
CUAAUGUAGAAGGUAGAGACUGGUAACACUGUCACGUAUAAUUGAAAUUGGCCGAGAGAUGCUGUCAACAAAGAAAAAGGGGUACUGGUCUGCAAGGUAAAGAAACAAAGAGGGAAAGGCAUGCCUCCCUUUUUGCAAGGGGAUUGUCAUCUAAUUGAAGAGGCGAAACAUAUCCAAGAGACAAGAAGACAUUGCAUGACUAUGCAAGUACAAGAACUAAGAGAAAGUCCUGAGCACUUGGC